GAGGUUGUAGCUCAGUGGUAGAGCACUUGCCUGGCAUGUGUGAGGCACUGGGUUCAAUUCUCAGCACCACA
RNAcentral lists this transfer RNA (71 nucleotides) under Marmota monax (woodchuck). RNAcentral's name for it is "tRNA.Ala". It matches the Rfam family "tRNA". From Rfam's summary of the family: Transfer RNA (tRNA) molecules are approximately 80 nucleotides in length. Their secondary structure includes four short double-helical elements and three loops (D, anti-codon, and T loops). Lineage: Eukaryota; Metazoa; Chordata; Mammalia; Rodentia; Sciuridae. The record is from RNAcentral.